AUGUUCAGUGCCCAGUGGCAGGGGGAGCUUUUCCACUGGGAAGAAGUUGCUCCUCUCUGUCUUGGGCAUGCUGUUUCUUGUGGCUUUGCUGGAUUAUGGCCUCAGAGCCUCAGGCUGCAGGGUAUGGGUGGUUGUCCUGCCCACUUUGAGCAUGACCCGCACUUGGAGCAAGGAGGUGUUUUAUCUGUGCCCUCCGUGGUCACAGACAAGGUGCUUGGUAUUUCUACCCCUCUGGACUCCGGACCUUCCACCCUGCUAUGCUCUCCUGGUUGGCAGCAAAGGGUAGCAGCAGGAGACAGGACGUGUGCGAAUCAGGAGAAUUCACACCAGAUUUCCAGGUGA
RNAcentral lists this long non-coding RNA (342 nucleotides) under Phascolarctos cinereus (koala). RNAcentral's name for it is "lncRNA (ENSPCIG00000036356.1)". The record is from RNAcentral. Lineage: Eukaryota; Metazoa; Chordata; Mammalia; Diprotodontia; Phascolarctidae.